This 265-nucleotide unclassified non-coding RNA is filed under the name Hevea brasiliensis (rubber tree). Lineage: Eukaryota; Viridiplantae; Streptophyta; Magnoliopsida; Malpighiales; Euphorbiaceae. The record is from RNAcentral.
GUCCCAUUAGAAAGUAUAUUGAAGAUAAAGGAGGCAGGUUUCAUUUAAGGUGGGGAUGCAGACAGAUAAUGUAUGAUGCAUCUGCUGAUGGAGAAACAUAUGUCACAGGACUUGCCAUGUCAAGAUCUACUAACAAGAAAGUUGUGAAAGCUGAUGCUUAUGUAGCAGCAUGUGAUGUUCCUGGAAUUAAAAGAUUACUUCCAUCACCGUGGAGGGAAUCACAAUUUUUUGAUAAUAUUUAUGAGCUAGUUGGAGUACCUGUUGU